Molecule: ribosomal RNA, 207 nt
Filed under: uncultured bacterium
Lineage: Bacteria
Description: partial 16S ribosomal RNA
Rfam family: Bacterial small subunit ribosomal RNA
Source: RNAcentral
GACAGAGGGUGCAAACGUUGUUCGGAAUUACUGGCGUAAAGCGCACGUAGGCGGACUGUUAAGUCGGGGGUGAAAUCCUGGGGCUCAACCUCAGAAUUGCCUCCGAUACUGGCAGUCUCGAGUGCGGGAGAGGUGAGUGGAAUUCCCAGUGUAGAGGUGAAAUUCGUAGAUAUUGGGAAGAACACCAGUGGCGAAGGCGGCUCACUG